Molecule: long non-coding RNA, 275 nt
Organism: Nicotiana tabacum (common tobacco)
Lineage: Eukaryota; Viridiplantae; Streptophyta; Magnoliopsida; Solanales; Solanaceae
Source: RefSeq, a predicted model, not a curated record
AUAAUCUUGAACAACUUGAAGCGGACUUGAUUAAUACCGGAAGAGAGCCUUGCAUCGUCGACAUAUAAAAGUAUUGCAGAACUUGAAAGUGUGCCAGGUUGAGGAUUUCAGUUCCAGUGUGCCAGGUGUGCCAGAACUUAAGGCUGCUGCAUUAAGGAAUUCUGGUUGAGGAUUUCAGUUCAUUAGUGAUUAGACAGCUAUUUGGGAUUUUAGUUAAUUUUGUUUUAUUCUGAAGAUUGUGUUUUGUUUAUGGACAUGUUGAACUGUUGAAUUAU